RNAcentral lists this ribosomal RNA (301 nucleotides) under uncultured bacterium. RNAcentral describes it as "partial 16S ribosomal RNA". It matches the Rfam family "Bacterial small subunit ribosomal RNA", at positions 509 to 807 of the family's 1533-position model. The record is from RNAcentral.
CAGUAGCCGCGGUAAGACGAACCGUGCAAACGUUACUCGGAAUCACUGGGCGUAAAGCGCACGUAGGCGGCUUGGUAAGCUAGAGGUGAAAGCCCAGGGCUCAACCCUGGAAUUGCCUUUAAGACUGCCGAGCUAGUAGGUGAGAGAGGUGAGUGGAAUUCCGAGUGUAGAGGUGAAAUUCGUAGAUAUUCGGAAGAACACCAGUGGCGAAGGCGGCUCACUGGCUCAUUCUAGACGCUGAGGUGCGAAAGCGUGGGGAGCAAACAGGAUUAGAUACCCCCGUAGUCCCUGUCUCUUAUAC